AGCAAUUUUAGAUGCAGAAUCGCACCGUCAACUAAAGAUCAUCAGUGCAUCACACGUCGAAGCGAAAUAAAUGUAGUGGUUGUACAUGAUGUUUUCCUCUUUCCUUUCAGUCCCAGAAUGUGUCUAUGGAGUUGAUUAGUGGUUCACUGAGUCAGAUCUUACCCAGCGUCCCUCAGAGAAGCCUCCAGAAGAUCAAACCUGUAGAGAUUUCCCAUAGACUCCACACACAGCUCUCAGACACUGACAAAGAUGGCAACAGUGAAAGUGAGAAGUUACAGAGACUCUAUCUGCAGAAGCAACAACAACAUGGAAGUUCAAGGCAUCAGCUGGCCACACUUCUGAAAGAGCUGGAGCUUCUUGAAACACCACUGGCAGCGCAAGGACAGCACAAGGCCAAGCAUCAGACGCAGGAAGCCCACAGAGCGGCCAUCAGCUGGUGGAGAGGUCAGACUAAAGAGGGCAAGAAGAACCAGGCUUCCCAAGUUCCACAAGAAACUGUGACGGACAUUCAAAGCCUGGACGUCAAUCACACCAGGCCAGCCCAGCUGGAAGAGGCUAAGUGUGGCAUGAAGGUGCUUCUCAAAGACCAGGGAACAAGCACCUGUGACGACGCUCAGAUUCAGUUCAGGGAUGUGGCUGUGGUCACUGAUUCAUCGGCAGAGCGUUUGGCUGCAGAAGAGCUGCUGAAGUCUCUGAGGAAAGUGGAGGACGUGGUUUCGCAGGCCUUGCGGGCAGCUCAGGUGCUCACGGGCAGCGAGAAGAGGAUAAAGGAGAGGAUAGAGGCCAUCAGCAUGAGGGUGGAGAGAGCACUGAGCAGAGCUGAAGCUACUGAGAGUCAGCUCCGUGCCCUGGAGGCCACCAUCUCUUCUAACACACAGUCGUUCUGUAUGUCUCAAUCUAUGGCCAGUGGGCUCCUGGUGGAUUGUAGCUUUUCCACACCCGAACCUGUCGCUCAGGAGAGCAUCCUCACUCCACUUUCAUCUGAAAAUGGUGGCUCGCUUCUGCACACGCGAGCAGAGGAACCCAGCAACAAGGUAAAUAACUGCUUACAUGUUUUUCCCAUUAAUUUUGACCUUGGUGUUUUACGAUGA
This 1091-nucleotide long non-coding RNA is filed under the name Carassius auratus (goldfish). RNAcentral describes it as "lncRNA (ENSCARG00000059662.1)". Lineage: Eukaryota; Metazoa; Chordata; Actinopteri; Cypriniformes; Cyprinidae. The record is from RNAcentral.